ACUUAAAUAAUUUAAAUAAAAAUAUUGAUUUGUGGAGUCAAAAAUAUGGAAUUCCAUUUUAGGUU
This 65-nucleotide transfer RNA is filed under the name Vagrans egista. Its description in RNAcentral is "tRNA-His". The record is from RNAcentral. Lineage: Eukaryota; Metazoa; Arthropoda; Insecta; Lepidoptera; Nymphalidae.